Molecule: RNA transcript, 586 nt
Organism: Propithecus coquereli (Coquerel's sifaka)
Lineage: Eukaryota; Metazoa; Chordata; Mammalia; Primates; Indriidae
Gene name: transcription elongation factor B polypeptide 1 pseudogene
Exons: 1
Source: RefSeq, a predicted model, not a curated record
CUGGGUAAGCAAAGUCGAAUCUCCUAAGAACAUAAUGGAUGGAAAGGAGAAAACCUAUGGUGGCUGUGAAGGCCCUGAUGCCGUGUAUGUCAAAUUGAUAUCUUCUGAUGGUCAGGAAUUUAUUGUAAAAAGAGAACAUGUGCUAACAUCAGGAACAAUAAAAGCCAUGUUGAGUGACCCAGAUCAGUUUGCUGAGAACGAAACCAAUGAGGUUAAUUUUAGAGAGAUCCCUUCACAUGUGCUAUCAAAAGUAUGCAUGUAUCUUACCUACAAGGUUCGCUACACUAACAGCUCCACCGAGAUUCCUGAAUUCCCAAUUGCACUGGAACUGCUGAUGGCUGCAAACUUCCUAGAUUGUUAAAUAAAAUAAAUUAUAAUAAACUGUUAAUUUUUUUCAGUAUUUAAUACCUGUCGUUCAGUUAGUAAUUUUUUCAUAUAUAGCAUGUUGCCUGUAUGCCAUUGAACUAUAAAGUUCAUUGCAAAGCAGAUUAUCUUCUGUUUUUCGCAUAGCAAUCAGGGUUGAAAUUUGCUUGCUACAUCAACCAAUUAAGGACAUUUUCACAAAUAGAAAUAAAUAAAUAUGCCA